RNAcentral lists this long non-coding RNA (221 nucleotides) under Elaeis guineensis (African oil palm). RNAcentral describes it as "long non-coding RNA (EGUI_LNC075595)". The record is from RNAcentral. Lineage: Eukaryota; Viridiplantae; Streptophyta; Magnoliopsida; Arecales; Arecaceae.
CAGCAGCAAUUUUUGCCCCAUUACCAAUUCGAAGAGUAAUCUCACCUUCUCUUAGUCUUUUAAUUUUCUCUAGACCCUGCAUAGAAGUGCACAAAUAAGCACUUGAACCAAAAUCUAAAAUCCAACUAAAACAAGAGGAAAUUAUUAGAUUAGUUUCAAUAAUAAGCAAUUCAGAUGUACCUUUAGAAGAUGCAUCCUUCUUCUUAUUUUUCACUAUGGCC